UUUAAUUGGUAGUCUACUGACAAACCAUAAAACUCAGCCUAAGACUGAUGUACACACUGAAGUACACGGACAUAAGUGUGACGAAACAUCCACAUGAGCUUAUUUCUUUUGCAUUUCUCAGAAUCGUCCCUCUAGCAGUCAUAUCUCCUAUGAAAUUAAACUUCCAGUAACAUGAGACAAAAUCCAGAGAUAUCUGGAAUUAAAUGAUAUCCAUCUAAUCUUUCUUCUCUCUUCUUCCUUCGCCUUGCUAAAUUGAAAUGACCGUCUGGGAGGUUUCCGUUCCCUGCUAACGUAGCUCUGUUUUACAAUGAAGAUAAUCAAAUCCCUACUCGAAUGGCCCACAUAAUGUCAGAUUGUUUUACCUGCACAGAAGUAAGAGGAGGAUGAAUCUGAUGAGAAGGAGGAUAAUGUGGAAAAGGAGAAGAGAAGAAAUCCAAAAUAUGAGGAAGAGGAAGUAAAUUGGCGGGGAAGGAAAACAGAUAAGGAGCUCAAGUAGAAAUAUGAUCCACGCCAGAUGUCAAAACAAGAUGUUGUUGGCAAAAUGGCAGAUCGUUGGGGAGAAGAAGUCAAAGACAUCCAAGGGCCCCCUAGGAUGUAGUGACACCUGGGGUGAUCAAUAUCGACAGACGUCCUGGAUGCUGUGGGUGUUUUCGAAGAUGUAGAUUUGGGGAAAAGUGAGAGCAGUGGUCAGGAGGACUUCAGCUGGACCGGGCUGUUCUCCUUCCAGUACCUGAGGGCAGCUCACCUAAAGCUCUGUGCUGUCAACUUGGACCUGAAGCCGUAUUUACCAUCGUUCCCAGAGGAGCAGUCGGUGCACGUGGGGUGUCGCAGCAGGAGACAGAUGCCCUGUGCUACCACAUGCAGGUGUACCUCGGCCAUGCUCUGGGCACCUGCAGCUGGAAGAUCAUCUCCAAAAGCUACGAUACCUUGGAGUACUAUGAGAGCCUAAGUGAGCUGAGGAAGAAAGGCUGCGAAGUUUUGCUGGAGAGAGCCAAAAGAUGUGUAAUUUAUACUAUAAGAACAUUGGAUAUGAUGUUCUUGGUACUUGAAGGUGUGAGUUUAUAAAAGCAAGGAGCACUUUCUGAGUAACCUCUUCAAUUCUACCAUCAAUGCAGAAGUUCCUAAAUAUGUCCUGAAUAUAUGGAUUACAGUGUAUAAAAUGAUGCAACAAGAAAUCUGAUUUUCUAAUUGAUGUAAUGCUGCAGCUUUAAAACAACGGCAUCUUGGGUUUGAAUCUUUUAUAAACAUUCACGUUCAGCGAACAUCACAAAUAUUGUAGGAGCAUCAGUAGUAAGAUUUUUCCUUUCCCUUUCCAUGUGUAUGCUUCAGUGAAGUGCUGCAAGACACAUAAUAUGACCUUUUUAUACAACAGAAUAUGUGGCAUUUUCAUGCAGUGUAGAAAGGUUUUGUCCCCCUCUCACUGACUUUGAAGCUACUUAAAGGGAAAUCAGUUCAAGGAGUUAAAGGGCUCUUUCCAAGAGAAUAAAGCAGAUACUGUUGGUGUUGCAUUGUCAAGCAAGUUAAUCAUUAAAAUGUGUCCAAACUGUUCUCUGAA
Thunnus maccoyii (southern bluefin tuna) is the source of this 1555-nucleotide long non-coding RNA. RefSeq lists it as uncharacterized. The record is from RefSeq and is a predicted model, not a curated record. The transcript is spliced from 2 exons. Lineage: Eukaryota; Metazoa; Chordata; Actinopteri; Scombriformes; Scombridae.